AGAGAGGGCAAACAGGUGUGCAUAACAUGCUCUGAGGUAGGAGGAGGGAGAGAGAGAUGAGUGUAGGCUCUACUCCUGUUCUGCUACUCAGACCCAGACUCUCUCUGAUGAGUGCAGCUGGAGAGACAGACCCCAGGCAUUUCAUUUAAAUGAUUUUCUAUUGUAACCUUUUAUUUAACUAAGUCAGUUAAGAACAAUACUUAUUUACAAUGACAGCCUAUGAACAACAACUGCCUUGUUCAGGGGCAGAAACGACAGAUGUUUUACCUUGUCAGCUCAGGGUUUCGAUCCAGCAACCUUUCAGUUACUGGCCAAACGCUCUAACCACUAGUAUACCCUGCCGCCUCUACACUCUAACCACUAGGCUACCUGCAGCCCUAUACUAACCACUAGGCUCUAACCACUAGGCUACCUGCCGCCCCAUACUAACCACUAGGCUACCUGCAGCCCUAUACUAACCACUAGGCUCUAACCACUAGGCUACCUGCCGCCCUAUACUAACCACUAGGCUCUAACCACUAGGCUACCUGCCGCCCCAUACUAACCACUAGGCUCUAACCACUAGGCUACCUGCCGCACCAUGCUAACCACUAGGCUCUAACCACUAGGCUACCUGCCGCCCCAUACUAACCACUAGGCUCUAACCACUAGGCUACCUGCCGCCCCAUACUAACCACUAGGCUCUAACCACUAGGCUACCUGCCGCACCAUGCUAACCACUAGGCUCUAACCACUAGGCUACCUGCCGCCCCAUACUAACCACUAGGCUCUAACCACUAGGCUCUAACCACUAGGCUACCUGCCGCCCCAUACUAACCACUAGGCCCUAACUACUAGGCUACCUGCCGCCCCAUACUAACCACUAG
This is a long non-coding RNA of Oncorhynchus tshawytscha (Chinook salmon), 866 nucleotides long. The record is from Ensembl. NCBI's taxonomy places the organism in Eukaryota, Metazoa, Chordata, Actinopteri, Salmoniformes, Salmonidae.